AUUGAACGCUGGCGGCAGGCCUAACACAUGCAAGUCGAGCGGAUGAAGGGAGCUUGCUCCUGGAUUCAGCGGCGGACGGGUGAGUAAUGCCUAGGAAUCUGCCUGGUAGUGGGGGAUAACGUCCGGAAACGGGCGCUAAUACCGCAUACGUCCUGAGGGAGAAAGUGGGGGAUCCUCGGACCUCACGCUAUCAGAUGAGCCUAGGUCGGAUUAGCUAGUUGGUGGGGUAAAGGCCUACCAAGGCGACGAUCCGUAACUGGUCUGAGAGGAUGAUCAGUCACACUGGAACUGAGACACGGUCCAGACUCCUACGGGAGGCAGCAGUGGGGAAUAUUGGACAAUGGGCGAAAGCCUGAUCCAGCCAUGCCGCGUGUGUGAAGAAGGUCUUCGGAUUGUAAAGCACUUUAAGUUGGGAGGAAGGGCAGUAAGUUAAUACCUUGCUGUUUUGACGGUACCAACAGAAUAAGCACCGGCUAACUUCGUG
This 484-nucleotide ribosomal RNA is filed under the name uncultured bacterium. Its description in RNAcentral is "partial 16S ribosomal RNA". It matches the Rfam family "Bacterial small subunit ribosomal RNA", at positions 30 to 507 of the family's 1533-position model. The record is from RNAcentral.